ACAGUACAACAGCAGUAGCCGUGGGGUCAGCCAAGUACGGAGCAGGCUCUGGUCCUAUUCUGUUCAGUGACCUGCGGUGUGUGGGGAACGAAACCAGCCUGGCGCAGUGUAGACACUGGGGACUCUACAGACACGACUGUGAACAUUGGCAGGAUGUCGGCGUCAUGUGCAACUUCACUCAGCAGAUGACAGCUCGUGUAGUUGGUGGCACAGCAGACGCAGGACGUCUAGAGAUAUUGUACGAUGGAACUUGGAACACUGUAUGUGGCUUUAAGUUUGGAACGGAGGAGGCCUUGGUAGCCUGCAGGAUGCUGGGAUUUAACAGCACAACAGCAGUAGCCGUGGGGUCAGCUAAGUACGGAGCAGGCUCUGGUCCUAUUCUGUUCAGUUACCUGCGGUGUGUGGGGCACGAAACCAGCCUGGUGCAGUGUGAACACUCGGGACUCUACAGACACGACUGUGAACAUUGGCAGGAUGUCGGCGUCAUGUGCAACAUCACCACACCAAUGACAGCCCGGUUACAUGGCGGGACGUCUGAGGCAGGACGUCUAGAAAUAUCGGUCAACGGAGAAUGGACUACAGUGUGUCAGGGUGGAUUUGAACAGAGCGAAGUAGAAGUCGCUUUAAGGAUGCUGGGACUCAACAGCACUGGACAAGCAGCUGUGAAGUCUCUUCUAUUUAACGAUGGCUCACGAUUUCAAUUCGGGUAUAUAAAUUGUCAAGGAAUGGAAACAGAUCUUCAACAAUGCGAUAUAGGACAACUUAACAAAAGCAGCUGCGUGGAUGUCGGUAUCAUUUAUGAGUUCAAAAGCUUUAGUCUGCGACUGACAGGACCUCGCCGUACAGGCAGUAACAUGGGGCUUGUAGAAGUGGAGAUUGGAAGUAAACAAUUUAGUACAGUGUGUAUAAACAAUGAAAAAACUGCCGCAGUCAUCUGCAGACAACUCAAUUUAACCUCAAAUGGUGCAGCACUGGUAGACGGCUCGGUGUUUGGAGGAAACAAAAUACCUUUACUGGAAGCUGGGUUUUUUUGUGAUGGUAACGAAACCAGUCUUUUUGAGUGUGGCUGGAAUAAAAGUAUGGAGCAUUGUUAUUCUGAUGACGUUGGCGUGGUUUGCAGCAAAGAUGACAGACUUUAUAUAGUUUCGGAGACCGAAAAGUACCCUUUUAUGGAAGGAACAAAGGGAAUUCUAAUGUGUGUAAAACCACGAAAGUACAUUCCGGUAGUUGAAUACACAUGGUCAGGCAAAGGUGAUGGUCCUUCUCGAGGAAAUCGUCUGUUCUACGAUAAUCUGACGAGAGAGUACAAUGGGCGUAAAGUAUUUUGUGAAACCUCUAAUCCUGACGGUGCCUCUGGUCCUGGUGAACGCCUACAGAGUGGACUUUUUGUGUUAAACGUUUACUAUAAGCCGUUGAUUACAAUAACAUGGACUAACAACACCGGGGAACAACAGCCCUUGUCAAGUCUUUCUGAGUUAAACCCUGGACACAACGUGACCCUGUGGUGUGAGGCUGACAGCAACCCUCCCCCCGCGUCCAUCACGUGGUCAGGAAGAGUGAACAGCACGACUGGGGAGUUACGGAUCCUAGCGGCAGACCACGUGACACACAGCGGUGUCUACACCUGUACCGUCGUCACUCGCACCGUUGAUGAUGACGACAGACUUCCACUGACCACAUCUAACCACAUCACCCUCGGUGUUCAAGGUUGACAUUUACCCUCAUUGUCCAGAAGCUAAUGCAAAAGUAUUUUUAAAUGAGUUGCAUAAUAGCAUUACAAACACGUUUUCCUCUGUCUACACAAAGAAGUAAGUGUGUAACACUUUGAUCAUGACACAUGUACACAACAGUUGCCAAAUGUUUUGCGUUUUGUUGCCGCCAGCAGUGCGACUUUCCGUUUUUCAUUAUUUCUCUAUUGAUGUGACCAACGCCAUUUUACCAUCCACCAGAAGAAAGACCAGUAACAGGUAAGUGUUUAAAAAUUACACCUUCAAAGAGACUUUAUAAAACUGACAUAUUUUAGUUUUUUUAAAUUCUUUCUUGAUCCUUAUACAGUCUCUUAUACUCCUUUUUACAUGAUAUUUUAACUUGUUUGCAGAUAUGAAUGUGUAUGGCAGUAUCAAAUAAAUGUAAUUUUAUCUGACACGCAGGUUAGAACGUGUGUCUUUACGACAGUGUGUGUGUGUGUGUGUGUUUCCUAGGAAAAAGAUUUGUAAUUAGUAUUUUGUAGGUGUUUCAAAGUAGAUUUUCGUACAGGAAUAGAAAUGGGAAAUAUUAUGUAAAACGUUUGAUGCAUAAUUUUUAUUGAAAUGAUGCACAGUUAAGUGGCAACAACUGUGGCUCUAUUUAAAAGAUCAGAAUCGACAAAUUAAUUAAUAGAACACCUUUAUUUUGCAAUUUAUGUAUCAAUUAGAGUGCAGAAAUUGAUAACAGUACCCUGUUUCAGCACACCAUCUCUUCCAAAUAUCUCACCGACAAGCAGAAAAACCGAUGGUGUUCAACUGUGAGCAACAUAAUGUCAGUCUGGAUGUUCCUGACAUACCUGUCCAAGUCACUGACGCCUUGCCACCCGAGUCUUGUUGUUCGGCAUCAGAGGUUCGGCAGAAGCUCCUAUGCUUAUCAGGACAGUGUUUGGAAUUAUUCAUCUGUCUAGUGUGACCCUUUGUCUAUAAUGAUAGCCUGCAAUUUUUCUCUCGCCCACUGGAAUGUACAGUUGGUCUAGACGAUAAAGGAGAUGCGGACUCGGGCAUGGUGACAACAUCUGUAAAGGUCUCUCCUACGGGUGAUUGUCUCCCCUGCACUAAUACCUCGAAAUGUUGAAGUUAAUCAUAUAAAGGUGCAAUAAACUUUUGGCAAACGUUGACGUUCUUGGACUCUAAA
RNA transcript from Pomacea canaliculata, 2880 nucleotides. It is a transcript of the gene named scavenger receptor cysteine-rich type 1 protein M130-like, with no coding region annotated. The record is from RefSeq and is a predicted model, not a curated record. NCBI's taxonomy places the organism in Eukaryota, Metazoa, Mollusca, Gastropoda, Architaenioglossa, Ampullariidae. The transcript has 11 exons.